RNAcentral lists this ribosomal RNA (425 nucleotides) under uncultured bacterium. RNAcentral describes it as "bacterial SSU rRNA". It matches the Rfam family "Bacterial small subunit ribosomal RNA", at positions 917 to 1341 of the family's 1533-position model. The record is from RNAcentral.
GGGCCCGCACAAGCGGUGGAGCAUGUGGUUUAAUUCGAUGCAACGCGAAGAACCUUACCUACCCUUGACAUCCCUGGAAUCUUCUAGAGAUAGAAGAGUGCCUUCGGGAACCAGGUGACAGGUGCUGCAUGGCUGUCGUCAGCUCGUGUCGUGAGAUGUUGGGUUAAGUCCCGUAACGAGCGCAACCCUUGCCCUUAAUUGCCAUCAGUUCGGCUGGGAACUUUAAGGGGACUGCCGGUGAUAAACCGCGAGGAAGGUGGGGACGAUGUCAAGUCAUCAUGGCCCUUACGGGUAGGGCUACACACGUGCUACAAUGGGCAGUACAGAGGGUCGCAAUACCGCGAGGUGGAGCUAAUCCCAUAAAGCUGCUCUUAGUCCGGAUCGGAGUCUGCAACUCGACUCCGUGAAGUUGGAAUCGCUAGUAA